UUAAUAGGGGAUGUUGGUAUUUUUUUAUUUUCAUUUUGUUGUUAAUGUGUUCGAAACACAGCCAAGCAGACAUAUCCCAGUUAGACAGUUUUGGAAUGCCUGCACCAGCGACAUCUCAAUGGGGUAUGUGUUAUUGUAGUCCUAACCCCUCAAAAUCUCUACUGUUGGAACUGUGAUGUUAUCAUGGUGCCUGGGUAACUGGAUCUUGGCUUUGGGCCGACAACAACAAUUACAUAAUAAUGUGCUUUGAAAAAUUAAUGUUGAAUUCAUAGUUCAAGUUUUUUUUUAAAAUCCAGAAACGUAAAAUAAAAUAUUUCGAAAGAAGCUUAUGGAUGUAUUGAAGAAUAGCUGACAAUUAUUGAGUAAUUUUUUUCCACAAAAUUGAACAAUUUGCAUUUAUAGUCACAUCAUCCCAAAAAUGUAUACUGUCAACCAAGAUUUUUUUUAUUAAUGGUCAAUUUCAUAAUCAGGUCAUCUCAGUAGUCACAUUAUGGAUAGCAAGCUCCCACAAAUAUAAAUAAAGUUAUUUUGAAGGGGAUAGUAUUGGUUGGAAAACAAAGGAAAAAUAGUGCCCUUGGAUCAUUUGUCCCAACUGAAAGCAGAUGGGGUCAUGGAAUGAUGUCACAUUUCAAAUAAAAAGUAUUUAUGCAAGAGAAUAUAAGUGUCACUGACCAUUUAUUAUCAGGGUCAGAUUCAGGAUCUUUGGAGAAGGAUCCCAACUCAAAAUGUCACUAUCCAUUUCUGUCCACAGAUACUGCCUGGCCUGUUACUACAGCACUUUGUGUUUUGCUCAAGAUUCCAGCAUCUGCAGUUCCUUGUGAUUCCAAGUUAACUACAAUACUAUCUUAUCCCCUGAAGGAUAGCGCAAGGAGUUUAAAUCUCAUAGGGAAAAUGUCUAGGCACUUUCCACCUAGCAAAAUAACAUGUUUCAUUUUUAUUUGGUUUAAGCAACAACAUUGAUGAUUGCAACAAGUUAAGUGGAAAACUGUUUAGGAAGGAACUCAGAUGCUGGUUUACAUCGAUGAUAGACACAAAAUGCUGGAGUAACUCAGCGGGACAGGUUGCAUUUCUGGAUAGAAGGAAUGGGUGAUGUCUUGGAUUGAGACCCAAAACGUUACCCAUUUCUUCUAUCCAGAGAUGCUGCAUGUCCCGCUGAAUUACUUCAGCAUUUUGAGUCUAUCAACAAAUGGACUGUUUCCCAGUAAGAUACUUUUUGUCUGGGGCUGAAAUCAGUUGCUUUGCUGAUCAACAAUGUAAGUGAGUUAUUUUUUAGGCAUUUGUUCAGUGUAGACUUGUCGAUACAUUACCGACAUACCAUUCAGAGCUGCCUCAAAGGAAUUCCAUGAAAACAGCCAAAUGAUCAAACAGGCAAGUCUCAACGAGGUAGGAAUAAGCCAAUCAAGGUUAAAAUGUGCCUGACUAGAGUUAAAGACUUUGACUGUAGCUUGCAGGACCUCCUGGAUAUAUUCUGGACAUUAUCCUGAGCUUUUGUUAGGGAUUGUUUAACUUUUUCACUUCCUCAAUAGUUAUUAAGAGAAAGGUACUAGCCUGGAGUGUGAAAAGUUAUUUGAACGGGAUUGGAAGCCAGAGGCCAAUAAAUAUUAUCCAAACCAAAUGGGGGAAUACAUCUAUAGAGAAACAUGAUGGAGCCACAGGCCUGUCUCAGAAGUGGGUAGUUUCUUCUGCAUGAUGAUAAGGGUGAGUGAUUCUUAAACAUUCUUGCACCGUUUUAAUAAGUUUCCAGUCAGUUUUAUCUGACUGAGCACUGUCAAAAGAACAUGGUCUGAAAACAUUUCAUUAUUUAUUAACUAAAUUCUGUAUGGUGUCCAGGUUGUUAAUGAUCAGUCCAGUCAGGGUCUUGUGUCUUCCAUUGGAAGGCAAACCGUUGGUUCAGUAGGAAUUCCCUCUUGGGGAGGGUGAUGAAACUCCAUAAUAGUCUAACCAGGAGGAUUACUAAAUUAAUCUUAGUGGCAUUAUCAUCUUGUGUUCCUCACUUUCCUUACUUCUUUUAUUUCUAUCUUUUUUAAAGUUCCAAAAUGAAGGGGUACAACAAAUGUAAUGAGAUAUAUGUGGUGUGUAUUACUGCAACUUAAUGUACU
This is a long non-coding RNA of Leucoraja erinaceus (little skate), 2099 nucleotides long. RefSeq lists it as uncharacterized. NCBI's taxonomy places the organism in Eukaryota, Metazoa, Chordata, Chondrichthyes, Rajiformes, Rajidae. The record is from RefSeq and is a predicted model, not a curated record. The transcript is spliced from 3 exons.